Long non-coding RNA from Solanum stenotomum, 1156 nucleotides. RefSeq lists it as uncharacterized. Lineage: Eukaryota; Viridiplantae; Streptophyta; Magnoliopsida; Solanales; Solanaceae. The transcript has 3 exons. The record is from RefSeq and is a predicted model, not a curated record.
CAUGAACCAUGUUGGUCUUUCCUGUUCUUUUCGACAACAUUCUCUUCGACAUAUCCAAUUUGUGUUCUUGAACUUUCUUAGCCUUCUUCUUCUCAAAUGCUCUGUCAACGGAACUGAUGAACUAAAGGACUAUAUUUCAACAUCCCCCUCAAGCUGGAGGGGAUCGAAGUGAGACCCAGCUUGGAAAGUAACUUGAGAUAUUGUGGUCCAGGGAGAGAUUUGGUAAAGAUAUCAACGAUUAGAUCUUUAGAAGGGAGAAAGGAUAGAGAAAUGAACCCAACCAGGUAUUCUUGACGGACGAAAUAGCAAUCAAGCUCAACAUGUUUUGUCCGUUCAUGGAAAACCGAAUUGCAUGCAAUGUGAAUUACAGCUUGGCUGUCUGAGUGGAUCGGAACAUGAAGAAGUGAUGGAACUGAUAAAUCAGUAAGGAAACGAGUCAGCCAAAUCAACUCAGCUACGAGACGCCUCAUGGAUCUAUAUUCGGCUUCAGCAGAUGACAAGGAGAUGGAGAUUUGUUUCUUUGAUUUCCAAGAAAUAGGUGGGCCACCAAAACUAAUAAAGAAUCCACUGAUGGAUCCGCGCGAAUCUCGACAUGAAGCCCAGUCAACAUCGCAAAAUGCACUGAUGGAGAAAAAUGGAGAAUAAGAUAGAAAUAAUCCCCGAGCAGGAAACUGUUUAAGUUAAGUUUGCCGACAAGAUGCUUGUAUAGAAUAGGAUCUUCCAUGUACUCAUCGGAUUCUGCUACCAAUUUGAUAGAUGGAUCCAAAGGUGAAGAGAUAGAAGACAUAUGAGACACAUCAAUUUCAAUGAGAAAAUCAGAGAUGAAACAACUUAGCACCAUUGGUUUGACCAAACUUGUGCUCCAAGCUGGUCCACAUUUCCUUUGCAGUCCUUGAGUAAAUUACACUUUCCGCAAUAUCUCUUGAUAGAGAAUUCAAGAGCCAUGAAGUCACCAUAUCAUUGGAUCUAUGACAAAGUGGUAUAUCUAAAGAGUUUGUUGGAGGAAUUGGGGUGAAUCCGUUGAUGAAACCCAACUUAUUCUUUGCCGAAAGGGCAAUGAGCGUUGACCUCUUCAAACCCUGAAAACCUUUUUCAUCAAAAAGGUUAUUCACCAAUGUCAUACCAAGAUUAUCAGAAGGAUAAAGGUGAUAUGGAU